Molecule: unclassified non-coding RNA, 281 nt
Filed under: Hevea brasiliensis (rubber tree)
Lineage: Eukaryota; Viridiplantae; Streptophyta; Magnoliopsida; Malpighiales; Euphorbiaceae
Source: RNAcentral
UUGGACCAUGAAUUUGUCCAAUUUCCUUCUUGUAAGUCUCCCCCAACUCUUGUUUUCUUUCCAAAGCUCUUGCCAAACUCAUUGCUUGUACUAGACUCAACGGAUUUUGAAUCUCCACAUCAAGCCUGAUUGAAUAAGUUAACCCCACAAUAAAUAAGUCCACCUGUUGGUCUACUUGGACUAUUGUUGCUUUAGCCAGCAAACUUUGAAAUUGGCAUUGGUACUCCUCUACUGUUCCUGUUUGGUUCAAAUUAACUAAUUCACCCAAAGGAUUGCUACUG